GAGGUGCCAUCUUUUUUCGGCGUGUCACGUCUUUACGGUGCCAUGCCAAACCGGGUGGCCGGGCUUCAUAGGACAGGGCGGGGCCUGGCAUUAAAGGGAGGGGGACAAUCAGCGCUGAAAUCUUGGCGUUUUGCUGCUGCGGGCGUGAGCACUGGGGGCGUUCGCCCAGCACCUUCUUCGGGGGCUCUUUGCUUUGUCUGUAGAGGUUACGUGAUCUGCGCUCCCAGCCCUGGUUUCUGGCUUUUAUUCUGAGGGUGUUCAGUCAACCUCCCCCCUACGCCCAUGCGCCUCUCUUUCCUUUUUCGCUCCUCAUUUCCGAGCCCAUUGUUGGAUCUCGAGGCUUGCUGGGUUCGAUGAACUCGAGUCAACCCCCCGACCCCCGGCACGCAUGGAACGGGCGUGACCGCGCGCAGCCUCGUCUCGGAGUCUGCCGGCGCCGGGAAGCUUCUGAAGGGAUGGGAUUCGAGUCUCCGUGCGCGCUGCGGGCGGCGGCAGAGGGAUCUCGCCCCUCCCUACACCCCAAGUGUCCUGAGGGCCACGCCACACCAGGUUGCCCAGCGAGGGACGCUGGCUACCCAUCCGGGGAUGGGUGGGGAGCCCUGGCGGGGCCUCUCCGGCUUUACGCCCUGUUGCUUCGCCUGGCCGGAGAAUGUGAGGAAGGGGCAUAAGGUUACUGGUGCUUCGGCCACACCCAUCUUUCUGAGCCCACUGGACUGGGCGCAGAGGGGGGAUUGCCAUGGAAACCACAGGUGUCCGGAGAGGGGAUCUUGGGGCUGGCCUCACCCCUUCCCUGCGGAGAUUGGGGACCCUGGGGUAGGGGGAGCCGCGCCCAGUCGGCCUCCUGGAGGACACGGGAGGAAGCCCCGAACCCCCGCGCCUGAGGCUGUUUCUGAUUGGCCCCUGGAGGCCGCAGACACGCAGAUAGGCGGCCCUGGGUGUAUUUUUAUUAAUAUUAUGUCCGUACUGAUUAAUAUUAUUUAUCUUAAAUAAAUUUCACCCGUGUCCAAGUUCACCGCGCCCCCAAAACCGAGUCUGGGGCGGCAGGGGGAACUCCUGGCCAACGAAUCCAUGCCUCGCCCUCCUGUGAUGAACCUGGUACGCACGGUUUUCUGGUUAAUUCUAUCGCUGAAAACUGGUGCGGGGGGCGCACUUCUGAGACGGAAGAGCAUCUAGGAGCUGAAUCCUCCACGCGGGUCGCCCAGGUUGAUCUGAAUUUCUGGGGAAUGGCUUGGCUGCCCGCCCGGGACCAGGCCGACCCUCCUUGACGGUGGCGUAGAGGGCUGGAGCCUGGGUACUGCGAGGCUCCUCGCAUGGCUGGGCCCGCCGCGAGGGGUUGCAGAGCGGCUCAGGGAUCGAUUCAAGCAUCGUCUCUCCUCCCUCGCCCCCAGACAGAGCUGGGCGCGGGGUUCCCCUUCCAGAUGGAGCGAGGGUCUCGGGGUGGCCCCGGAAAAGGGGAGCCCGCGGCCACGGCUACGUAUUGCCAUCUCGCGAGCAGAGAUGUCACCUCCUGCCUUUGGAGGAAAGGGAGCCCGGUGGGGAUGAGCGCAUUUAGCCCAAUGCUGGGAACAAAGCGCACUCCGCGCUUCUGCGAUUUCGCUCCAUUUUGAAAUGUGUUGGCGCUUUGGUGGGGCCGCUGCGGUGGGCAAGGCCGGGGGCGCUGUUAAUGGAGGAACCUCAGGGGGACGGUCCUUCGUAGGAAACUCUAUCCUGGCUCUGCGCGCGCUUUAAGGAAAUGGCUUCCCUCCAGGACCUCGAGGGAUGCAGCUUUUGCGCGGAUGACGGUGGGGUGCUGAACCAGCCGGUGCGCCUCUGGAAAUGUCUGGGCACGGAUCCUGGGGCCAUCGACGACUCCUCCCCAUUCCCAGCAGGCGGGAGCUCUUACAUUCCGAGCGAGUGACCCCUCUCACCCUCUGGCGCUCACACACCUGUAACUCCAAACCUCCGUCUCAGAAUGGUCCAGGCUGGAAGGGAUGAUGGGGGCUCCGACAGCGACUGCCUAGCUCACCCCUCUGCGUGCUCAGGCUCCAGGCUCAGCAGGACCAAUUUGAGUUCUAUCUGAUCCCCCUCGGCCCCUUAACUGACCCAUCCUACAGGAGACAGGGAAAUGUCUUUCCUACCGCGGUUGAUUCUGGGGUGUCAUUUUGUGUUUUGUGAUGGCUGCUUAUAUUUACUGUAUAAGCAUUGUAUUUACUGUAUAAGCAUUGUAUUAUAAUUACUGUAUAAGCUGCUUAUAUUUACUGUAUAAGCAUCUCCAAAUCCUCCCUCUACGUAAACAAAUUAAUGGAUAAACAGAUAAGUGUAUCCCCUGCCCCCACCCCUGCUACGCAGGUCCGGAGUGACUCUUGAAGCUCAUACAUUCCUUGGCCAAGUUUGCUUCUCUAACAGAUGUUUAUAUAGCAAUAACCUGGCUUGGCUCUUGGGUUCACCUUUGGACGAUUUGGGGAAGGGGCUUGUUGGCUUUGCUGGGUUUUGGAUGAGUGACAGUCCAUGACUGUUCCUGCUGGAAGGGCGUGACUUUUAAGUGGUUUCUAAUAUCAGGCAUUGCUCCUCCGACAGGAACAAAAGAAAUGGAUACUGCCCAUAAAUUGUUAGAAAACUUAGAAUCGCUUUGAUUGAGGAAAGGUUAGAUUUAUUCCGGUUGGAAAAAGUGGCCUUUCUAUUAAACGUGCCCUUUGACCCUCAUGCCCUUGGAGGUCGGUGCCAGCCUGGAGAUGGGAUAAGAUUGUGGUUUUCCUUCUGCCUUUUUAACAUCUGUUGUUACAGUCCAUUUGUUGAAAAUUUAAAGAAACUGUUUUAUUCCACUUUCCCUCAGCAUUUAUGUGUGUGGUUUCAGUAGCUCUGUGGCUAUAUGUACGAACACGUGUUAUUUUUCCAAUUGGACAUGUGAUAAUUUUCCAACUGGACCUUGCCUUCUAUUGAUGUAUUUAUUUAGCAUCUUCCUUACUCCCUCCUUGAAAAAGAAUCACUCAAAAACAAAUAAAAACAGCCGUAGGGGCCUAAUACAGUGCUAGACAUAAAAAAAAA
RNAcentral lists this long non-coding RNA (3024 nucleotides) under Homo sapiens (human). RNAcentral describes it as "MAPT intronic transcript 1 (MAPT-IT1)". The record is from RNAcentral. Lineage: Eukaryota; Metazoa; Chordata; Mammalia; Primates; Hominidae.